Molecule: ribosomal RNA, 926 nt
Filed under: Ganoderma boninense
Lineage: Eukaryota; Fungi; Basidiomycota; Agaricomycetes; Polyporales; Polyporaceae
Description: partial large subunit ribosomal RNA
Rfam family: Eukaryotic large subunit ribosomal RNA
Source: RNAcentral
AUACAUAAGCGGAAGGAAAAGAAACUAACAAGGAUUCCCUAGUAACUGCGAGUGAAGCGGGAAAAGCUCAAAUUUAAAAUCUGGCAGUCUUUUGGCUGUCCGAGUUGUAGUCUGGAGAAGUGCUUUCCGCGCUGGACCGUGUAUAAGUCUCUUGGAACAGAGCGUCAUAGAGGGUGAGAAUCCCGUCUUUGACACGGACUACCAGUGCUUUGUGAUGCGCUCUCAAAGAGUCGAGUUGUUUGGGAAUGCAGCUCAAAAUGGGUGGUGAAUUCCAUCUAAAGCUAAAUAUUGGCGAGAGACCGAUAGCGAACAAGUACCGUGAGGGAAAGAUGAAAAGCACUUUGGAAAGAGAGUUAAACAGUACGUGAAAUUGCUGAAAGGGAAACGCUUGAAGUCAGUCGCGUCGUCCGGAACUCAGCCUUGCUUUUGCUUGGUGCACUUUCCGGUUGACGGGUCAGCAUCGAUUUUGACCGUCGGAAAAGGGCUGGAGUAAUGUGGCACCCUCGGGUGUGUUAUAGACUCUGGUCGCAUACGGCGGUUGGGAUCGAGGAACGCAGCGCGCCGUAAGGCAGGGGUUCGCCCACUUUCGCGCUUAGGAUGCUGGCAUAAUGGCUUUAAACGACCCGUCUUGAAACACGGACCAAGGAGUCUAACAUACCUGCGAGUGUUUGGGUGGAAAACCCGAGCGCGUAAUGAAAGUGAAAGUUGAGACCCCUGUCGUGGGGGGCAUCGACGCCCGGACCUGACGUUCUCUGAAGGAUCCGCGGUAGAGCAUGUAUGUUGGGACCCGAAAGAUGGUGAACUAUGCCUGAAUAGGGUGAAGCCAGAGGAAACUCUGGUGGAGGCUCGUAGCGAUUCUGACGUGCAAAUCGAUCGUCAAAUUUGGGUAUAGGGGCGAAAGACUAAUCGAACCCAUCUCAGGGCAC